UUCCUGUACCAUUUUUAGGCAUCACAAACCAUAAUAUAAUGAAUCACAUAAUUUCUUUUGAGAAAGAACAAUCACAUGUAACUACUUCAUAUAUGAUUCUUUUAUAAAUCUCGUUACAUUACUUAUCGUAACAGGAUACAUACAUAUAAAUAUUAGAAAGUCUAAGGUCUCUUAAGAAAAUUCUUGAACCAUUGUGCUGA
This 200-nucleotide long non-coding RNA is filed under the name Trifolium pratense (red clover). Its description in RNAcentral is "long non-coding RNA (TPRA_LNC010732)". Lineage: Eukaryota; Viridiplantae; Streptophyta; Magnoliopsida; Fabales; Fabaceae. The record is from RNAcentral.